CCUACGGGAGGCUGCAGUGGGGAAUAUUGCACAAUGGGGGAAACCCUGAUGCAGCGACGCCGCGUGAGUGAAGAAGUAUUUCGGUAUGUAAAGCUCUAUCAGCAGGGAAGAAAAUGACGGUACCUGAUUAAGAAGCCCCGGCUAACUACGUGCCAGCAGCCGUGGCAACACGUCGGGGGCAAGCGUUAUCCGGAUUUACUGGGUGUAAAGGGAGCGUAGACGGCAGCACAAGUCUGGAGUGAAAUGCCGGGGCUUAACCCCGGAACCGCUUUGGAAACUGGGCAGCUAGAGUGCAGGAGAGGUAAGUGGAAUGCCUAGUGUAGCGGUGAAAUGCGUAGAUAUUGGGAAGAACACCGAUGGCGAAGGCGGCUUACUGGACUGUAACUGACGUUGAGGCUCGAAAGCGUGGGGAGCGAACAGGAUUAGAUACCCCAGUAGUC
This 440-nucleotide ribosomal RNA is filed under the name uncultured bacterium. RNAcentral's name for it is "partial 16S ribosomal RNA". It matches the Rfam family "Bacterial small subunit ribosomal RNA", at positions 338 to 795 of the family's 1533-position model. The record is from RNAcentral.